ACCAACAUGCACGUUAUGCACAUACAUCCCAGAACUUCAAGUAAAAUUUUAAAAAAGAGUAUAAACAAGGGAAAAGAAAUUUAAGCCCUAUUUGGAUUGAAUUCUCAACUGUUUUUGUUUUUUGAUCAACGUGUUAAUUUUUCUUUUUUUUGGUUAACAUAUGUCCAGUCAGCAAGACCAGUGCUUCUCAAAUGUCAAACUUUACAUGUGUUUGAAUUACCCGGGACUCUUGUUAAAAUGCAGAAUCUAGUUCAGUAGGUCUGGGAAGGACCUCAAACCCUUAAUUUAUAACAAGCUCCAAGGAGCAAGAAGCUACAGAAAAGGAGUUAAUUGACUUUGUCUACAUUUUGAAUAAAACAAAAUGGUAGUGCUUCUCCUCCAGUAAAACCUUAUUAUAUAAGAAUGAAAACAAAAUAGAUGCCUUUUGAAUCUCCUAAUACUUCUCACAAAAUAAUUUUUCCUUUUGCCAAAGCAUUUACCAAAGAGUAUCUAGCAAAUUCUGUUAGUUUUAAAUAAGAAAUUAGAUAAAAUUCUAAAAGAAUCCAUAAAAAUGAGGGGCUCUUGGUCUAGGUUAAUGAUGUUGGAAAUGGAACCUGGACUUUAACUCUUUUGCCAUGAGAGACUUACCAUGUUUUCCUUUAUGGUCCUUGCUUAUAAGCAUUUGCAGUAUCCUUAUCUGAAUAUUAAGAAUAACAGCAUGAUUUGGAACCAGAAGGUCUGGGUUUGUGUGUCAGUUGUGCUGUGUAACCUUGGGCAUGUGUCUAUUUUUCUGAGCCUCAUUUUCCUCAUCUGCAAAAAUGAAAUCAAUACAGUUGCCUUUCUAAGUUGAUGUAAAGUUUAAACGGCGGUGCUAUGCUUAAUAUACGCUCUUACUGAUAUGAUUCUUCCCUUCUCUCACCCAAAGCAUAUGAUGUCACAUGGUAUAUGGAAUAAUGUUGGUUUUGUUGGUGGUGUUGGAUGAUGGAUAAGAAGACCUAGAAUUCUUUUAGGCCACUACCUUACUUAAUAUUAAUCAGAACCCUAGCAUUUCAGAUCCAAAACGGUUAGUAAACUCUAAUCUUACCACAACAUAAAGAUAAUGCUAUCUAAAUUUUAUGGAAUAGCUUUUCUUUUUUCCUUAGUGCUCACAGAAAUUAUUCUCUGUAGACAUCUUAAAGACUACUUGCUAACUGAGGAACAGCUACACAAAAAUAACUACCCUAGGCCACACCCCAACAAACCAGGAAGUAUUCUUUUAAACCCAGGCAUGAAAAAAACUUGCAAAUGGUGCCCCUCAAUGGAAGGCAAUACACUUAGCAGGAUCAAGCACGCAAAGGCAAGUCUCCACAUUGGCUCAUCUACCUUGUCUCUCCCAUCUCGUCUGGAAGAACCCCACUUCAUGUUUUGCUUCAGCAUCUAAGAAGAUCUGUUGUCGAUGUGGAAAAAUAUAUAGUGUGACUCCCUCAGGCUGACACAGCAGGGUAGAAGAAUGUAACUACCACGUUGGCCAAGUGUUGAAUCAUAAAGACCUCAGUGGCUUUGAAUCUCGAUACAGCUGUUGUGGAGGUUUUCUUGGAUCUCCCCAGUGUCGAGUCGCCAAGGUAGGACUUGUCACCCUCAGUGCUGCCUGUUUCAGAAGCCAAGUUGUAGCCUCCAACACAGGCCUUGGUGAUCGAUAAGCAUUUGAAAAAAUUAACUAAUUUUCAGUUGAUGACAUUUUAUGAGCCUAAUUGUACUUAGAAAAAACAGUAAUUGAUUUGCCAAUGUUUGUUUCUGCUUCAUGUUCAUGACCAAAAAGAAAACCUAAAGGGCUUUGUGAAGACUUUUGUCAAGGUCCCACCUGCUGACGGUAAUCAGUGUGUUUGCAGUAAGUUGUGAGGUGGUUUGUUAGUUUUAUAUUUUACUUUAUUGUGGUAAUUAUGACUGAAUGAUUGUGUAGCAGUCUACCUGGUAUAAGGGUUUCCAGGGCCUUAUUCCUUGACACAGUGCUGCAUUGGUUGUUCACAGAUUUUCAGAUGAAGCCAUUAAAGCUGAGAAGAGUUAGUGAAUUGGUUAAGUUCAUGCACCUAGAGUGAUGGAGCCCGGAACUGUCCUAUGAGUGUCUUUUUAUCAGUCAGAUUUCUAAAAUAUAUAAAUAGUAGUAAUUCUACUUAUCAAAUUGCUGAAAUUAUGCGAGUGAAAAACAGCAUAAAAGCUUUAAUACUUUUGGCAAAAUCAUUUAUAGAGACAGUAAAAUCUUUGUAGGGACAUAUGUUCCUUUAUAUAAGAAUCAAUGCUAAAAAGUGGGGAAGACAGAAUUUGGAAUUACAAGACCUGGAAAGUUCUACCAGCUGUGACCUUCUGAGCAAGUCUCUUAGAUGCUGUAAGCUGUAAAUUAUGGAGUCAGUAACAACUCCAUAGUGACUAUGAAAAUCAGAUAUGCUAAAAUAUAGGAAAGUGCUUUGUACAUGUCAAAUGUAUGAAUAAUCAUCUUUAACAACAUUAAGUUUUUAUUCCCCAUUGUAUAUUUGGAAAGAAGAUUUGUGGCAUUUCCUUAUACUAAAGGUAGAAGACAGUAUUCCAUUUUCCAGCUUAAGAUCUUUUUAUUAUUGUUAUACUUUAAAUUCUGGGGUACAUGU
Cercocebus atys (sooty mangabey) is the source of this 2597-nucleotide long non-coding RNA. RefSeq lists it as uncharacterized. Lineage: Eukaryota; Metazoa; Chordata; Mammalia; Primates; Cercopithecidae. The record is from RefSeq and is a predicted model, not a curated record. The transcript is spliced from 4 exons.